Molecule: ribosomal RNA, 87 nt
Filed under: Cantharellus appalachiensis
Lineage: Eukaryota; Fungi; Basidiomycota; Agaricomycetes; Cantharellales; Hydnaceae
Description: partial 28S ribosomal RNA
Source: RNAcentral
AUUUAUCAUUAUCAUCAUCAUUACUAUGGGUUACCUCAGGUCAGAGAAGACUACCCGCUGGACUUAAGCAUAUCAAUAAGCGGAGGA